This is a non-coding RNA of Toxoplasma gondii VEG, 45 nucleotides long. The record is from Rfam. NCBI's taxonomy places the organism in Eukaryota, Apicomplexa, Conoidasida, Eucoccidiorida, Sarcocystidae.
CUUUAGGCUUCUCUAGAAGCCACCAUUCGUUCAAAAAAAAACGAG